Molecule: unclassified non-coding RNA, 495 nt
Filed under: Hevea brasiliensis (rubber tree)
Lineage: Eukaryota; Viridiplantae; Streptophyta; Magnoliopsida; Malpighiales; Euphorbiaceae
Source: RNAcentral
GAUGCACAUUCUGCGUGGAAAAAGGUUUUGGUUUGCGAUGGUGCUUUUUCUCAUUCUUUUUGGAUCAUUUAUGCUUGAAUGAGUAAUUUGUCAUUUUUAACUCAACCAAGAUGCCAAGCAAAAGCAUAGGUUGUAGUAUUGGGUGUUGUGGCUAGUGUAACGGCAUAAUAUGGUGCAGCCAUUGAUUUUUUUUUCCUUUAUUUAAAAAAAAAAACUGAAAUAAAUAUUCAAAUAAGAAUUUGACUAAUAUGCAAUGUAUUGUUACUUUCAACGUCAAAAAUAAUUAUUUAUUGGAGAAAUUGUAUGUUUAUAAUUUGUAAUUGAUGUACUAGUUUAUUAAAUACAAAUUCAAGUAAUAACAACUCAAAUACUUGUGGCAAGCAUACACAUACAACCUUUGUUUGUUUCCAAAUAGGCUAGUGGCACAAAUGAAAGCUAUAAGGGUGACCUUUUGUUGUUAGCCUUUAAAAAAAGAAAAUAAGGGAAGAAGAAGAA